UGGGGAAUAUUGGACAAUGGGCGAAAGCCUGAUCCAGCCAUGCCGCGUGUGUGAAGAAGGUCUUCGGAUUGUAAAGCACUUUAAGUUGGGAGGAAGGGCAUUAACCUAAUACGUUAGUGUUUUGACGUUACCGACAGAAUAAGCACCGGCUAACUCUGUGCCAGCAGCCGCGGUAAUACAGAGGGUGCAAGCGUUAAUCGGAAUUACUGGGCGUAAAGCGCGCGGAGGGGGUUUGUUAAGUUGGAAGUGAAAUCCCCGGGGUGAACCUGGGAACUGCAUUCAAAACUGACUGACUAGAGUAUGGUAGAGGGUGGUGGAAUUUCCUGGGUAGCGGUGAAAUGCGUAGAUAUAGGAAGGAACACCAGUGGCGAAGGCGACCACCUGGACUAAUACUGACACUGAGGUGCGAAAGCGUGGGGAGCAAACA
This 427-nucleotide ribosomal RNA is filed under the name uncultured bacterium. RNAcentral's name for it is "partial 16S ribosomal RNA". It matches the Rfam family "Bacterial small subunit ribosomal RNA", at positions 355 to 774 of the family's 1533-position model. The record is from RNAcentral.